Molecule: long non-coding RNA, 813 nt
Filed under: Citrus x clementina
Lineage: Eukaryota; Viridiplantae; Streptophyta; Magnoliopsida; Sapindales; Rutaceae
Description: Citrus clementina (C. clementina) long non-coding RNA (CCLE_LNC003440)
Source: RNAcentral
AAGAAAAAUUUAUUAUUAUUGUUGUCAUUAAAUAUUAAAAAAAUUCUAAUACCAUAAGAUCAAACUUAGUAAUUAAUAUUAUAUUCUCUUACUAUUAUUAGUUUAUUAUUAUUGAAAAUGGAUUUAAGUUUUGAAUUUUUGAUUCUAUUAAAUUUGAAUAAAGGCACAUAGGUCCAAAAAUACUUAGACUUAAAAAAAUACGUCAAUAAUUUGGCACGCGCUCUUAAAAAAAGAAAGAAAAAAACUUAUUAGGCUUUUUUUCUUAGGCACAACAUGGCACGACCCACGACAUGGCAUGCGUGGGCAUGGUAAGGGUGGGCACGACAUGUGUGCUAGGCCAAGCCUAAGCAAAAAAAACAAAAUUAGGCACAACGCUGCAUGGUGCAAAACACAAAAUGGGCGCGGCAUGACACGAGCACGAGCACGAGCACGCAUAGACCUUCCUUUGAUGUCAGCUCGGUCUGUUGGCCAUCUCUAUACAUACAUAAAUGCAACAGCCGCAUGCUGAACAUCCCAACUCCCCAAGACCCAUCACAACGACCGGAUUUGACCCGAUCCUAAUCCAAUCUUUUAAACUAAUCCAAACAUAAAUAAGAAAUUUGAAUUAAAUUCAAAUGAACUUUUACCCAAUCAAAUUGGCUCAAUUUAGAUCUAAAAUUGCAUGUGUUGUAAAACUUGUCAUCUUCACCUAGUCAUUGAGCAUCAUCAAAAGAAUCUUCUAUUUUAACUUUUCAAAUACUUAUUUACUUAUUUAUGUGACAAAUAAGAGAGUAAAAAAAUUCUCUCUAAAGACUCUUUAAAUAAAAAUAAUUG